This 459-nucleotide ribosomal RNA is filed under the name uncultured bacterium. RNAcentral describes it as "partial 16S ribosomal RNA". It matches the Rfam family "Bacterial small subunit ribosomal RNA", at positions 338 to 795 of the family's 1533-position model. The record is from RNAcentral.
CCUACGGGUGGCAGCAGUGAGGAAUAUUGGUCAAUGGCCGAGAGGCUGAACCAGCCAAGUCGCGUGAGGGAAGACGGCCCUACGGGUUGUAAACCUCUUUUGUCGGGGAGCAAAGCGAACCACGUGUGGUUCAUUGAGAGUACCCGAAGAAAAAGCAUCGGCUAACUCCGUGCCAGCAGCCGCGGUAAUACGGAGGAUGCGAGCGUUAUCCGGAUUUAUUGGGUUUAAAGGGUGCGCAGGCGGAGGUGCAAGUCAGCGGUCAAAUUGCGGGGCUCAACCCCGUACUGCCGUUGAAACUGCAUCCCUUGAGUGCGCGAGAAGUAUGCGGAAUGCGUGGUGUAGCGGUGAAAUGCAUAGAUAUCACGCAGAACACCAAUGGCGAAGGCAGGUCUCUGGGCCGUUACUGACGCUGAGGAGCGAAAGCGUGGGGAGCGAACAGGAUUAGAUACCCGGGUAGUC